RNAcentral lists this long non-coding RNA (203 nucleotides) under Elaeis guineensis (African oil palm). RNAcentral's name for it is "long non-coding RNA (EGUI_LNC063873)". Lineage: Eukaryota; Viridiplantae; Streptophyta; Magnoliopsida; Arecales; Arecaceae. The record is from RNAcentral.
AGACUGAUGUAUAGAUUACUUCCUUCGAGAUAGAUGAGUCUUUGAUCUACAGUGUAGAGAUACUGAGCAAUGAGUGCGGUUAGUUAUUAGAGAACAACUAGUACUGAGCAUAACGAUACGAGAGAUCACUUGAAUUUCUACUCGAUCGUCAAUGAUCAUCUCGAUGUUGUAGUUGUGUGAAUGAUCUUUUGACCUGCAAUGAU